UACGAAGGGUGCAAACGUUGCUCGGAAUUAUUGGGCGUAAAGCGCACGUAGGCGGUAUUGCAAGUCGGAUGUGAAAUCCCUCGGCUUAACCAAGGAAGUGCAUCCGGAACUGCUGUACUUGAGUACGAAAGAGGAUCGCGGAAUUCCCGGUGUAGAGGUGAAAUUCGUAGAUAUCAGGAGGAACACCGGUGGCGAAGGCGGGUCUCUGGGCCGUAACUGACGCUGAGGAGCGAAAGCGUGGGGAGCGAACAGG
Molecule: ribosomal RNA, 253 nt
Filed under: uncultured bacterium
Lineage: Bacteria
Description: partial 16S ribosomal RNA
Rfam family: Bacterial small subunit ribosomal RNA
Source: RNAcentral